GACGGGGGAUGCAAGUGUUAUCCGGAAUCACUGGGCGUAAAGCGUCUGCAGGUGGUUUCCUAAGUCCACUGUUAAACCUUGAGGCUCAACCUCAAAUCUGCAUUGGAAACUAGGAGACUUGAGUAUAGUAGGGGUAGAGGGAAUUUCCAGUGGAGCGGUGAAAUGCGUAGAUAUUGGAAAGAACACCGAUGGCGAAGGCACUCUACUGGGCUAUUACUGACACUCAGGGACGAAAGCUAGGGGAGCAAAUGGG
RNAcentral lists this ribosomal RNA (253 nucleotides) under uncultured bacterium. Its description in RNAcentral is "partial 16S ribosomal RNA". It matches the Rfam family "Bacterial small subunit ribosomal RNA", at positions 524 to 776 of the family's 1533-position model. The record is from RNAcentral.